Papio anubis (olive baboon) is the source of this 181-nucleotide small nuclear RNA. Its record names the gene U1. It matches the Rfam family "U1 spliceosomal RNA". Rfam says of the family: U1 is a small nuclear RNA (snRNA) component of the spliceosome (involved in pre-mRNA splicing). Its 5' end forms complementary base pairs with the 5' splice junction, thus defining the 5' donor site of an intron. There are significant differences in sequence and secondary structure between metazoan and yeast U1 snRNAs, the latter being much longer (568 nucleotides as compared to 164 nucleotides in human). The record is from Ensembl. NCBI's taxonomy places the organism in Eukaryota, Metazoa, Chordata, Mammalia, Primates, Cercopithecidae.
UUACUUACCUAGCAGGGGAGAUACUGUGAUCCCAAAGGUGGUUUUCCCAGAGUAAGGCUCACCUAUUGCACGCUGGGUGUGCUGGCCCUUGUGAUUUUCCCAAAUGCAAGAAACUUGACUACGUAAUUUGUGGUUAUGGGCUGGGGGGGUGCGGGGUGGACUGUGUUUGUGCUUUCCCUGU